GUCCACGCCGUAAACGAUGUCAACUAGCUGUUGGGACUCUUGUAGUUCUGGUAGCGCAGCUAACGCACUAAGUUGACCGCCUGGGGAGUACGGCCGCAAGGUUAAAACUCAAAUGAAUUGACGGGGGCCCGCACAAGCGGUGGAGCAUGUGGUUUAAUUCGACGCAACGCGAAAAACCUUACCUACUCUUGACAUCCUGCGAACUUUCUAGAGAUAGAUUGGUGCCUUCGGGAGCGCAGAGACAGGUGCUGCAUGGCUGUCGU
RNAcentral lists this ribosomal RNA (263 nucleotides) under uncultured bacterium. RNAcentral's name for it is "partial 16S ribosomal RNA". It matches the Rfam family "Bacterial small subunit ribosomal RNA", at positions 793 to 1055 of the family's 1533-position model. The record is from RNAcentral.